AUACCGGCAGCCCGAGUGAUGGCCGCUAUUAUUGGGCCUAAAGCGUCCGUAGCCAGCCAGACAGGUCCGUCGGGAAAUCCAUCCGCUUAACGGAUGGGCGUCCGGCGGAAACCAGUUGGCUUGGGGCCGGAAGACCUGAGGGGUACGUCCGGGGUAGGAGUGAAAUCCCGUAAUCCUGGACGGACCACCGGUGGCGGAAGCGCCUCAGGAAGACGGACCCGACGGUGAGGGACGAAAGCGAGGGUCACGAACCGGAUUAGAUACCCGGGUAGUCCUAGCUGUAAACGAUGCUCGCUAGGUGUGGCGCUGGCUACGAGCCAGCGCUGUGCCGUAGGGAAGCCGAGAAGCGAGCCGCCUGGGAAGUACGUCCGCAAGGAUGAA
Molecule: ribosomal RNA, 381 nt
Filed under: uncultured bacterium
Lineage: Bacteria
Also listed under: 1 other name
Description: bacterial SSU rRNA
Rfam family: Archaeal small subunit ribosomal RNA
Source: RNAcentral